UACAAACCCUACUCCUGGAAGGACCAGU
RNAcentral lists this non-coding RNA (28 nucleotides) under Rattus norvegicus (Norway rat). The record is from RNAcentral. Lineage: Eukaryota; Metazoa; Chordata; Mammalia; Rodentia; Muridae.